AGCGAACGCUGGCGGCAGGCCUAAUACAUGCAAGUCGAGCGGGUCCUUCGGGAUUAGCGGCGGACGGGUGAGUAACGCGUGGGAACGUGCCCUUUGGUACGGGAACAACUGAGGGAAACUUCAGCUAAUACCGUAUGUGCCCUUCGGGGAAAGAUUAUCGCCAUUGGAGCGGCCCGCGUUGGAUUAGGUAGUUGGUGAGGUAAAGGCUCACCAAGCCUACGAUCCAUAGCUGGUCUGAGAGGAUGACCAGCCACACUGGGACUGAGACACGGCCCAGACUCCUACGGGAGGCAGCAGUAGGGAAUCUUGCGCAAUGGGCGAAAGCCUGACGCAGCCAUGCCGCGUGAAUGAUGAAGGUCUUAGGAUUGUAAAUACUUUCUACCGGGGAC
This 389-nucleotide ribosomal RNA is filed under the name uncultured bacterium. Its description in RNAcentral is "bacterial SSU rRNA". It matches the Rfam family "Bacterial small subunit ribosomal RNA", at positions 29 to 447 of the family's 1533-position model. The record is from RNAcentral.